RNAcentral lists this transfer RNA (75 nucleotides) under Clostridia bacterium. RNAcentral's name for it is "tRNA-Thr". It matches the Rfam family "tRNA". Rfam says of the family: Transfer RNA (tRNA) molecules are approximately 80 nucleotides in length. Their secondary structure includes four short double-helical elements and three loops (D, anti-codon, and T loops). Lineage: Bacteria; Bacillati; Bacillota; Clostridia. The record is from RNAcentral.
GGCAGAGUAGGUUAGUUGGUUUAGACCGCCUGUCUUGUAAACAGGAUGUCGUGGGUUCGAAUCCCAUCUCUGCCU